This 253-nucleotide ribosomal RNA is filed under the name uncultured bacterium. Its description in RNAcentral is "partial 16S ribosomal RNA". It matches the Rfam family "Bacterial small subunit ribosomal RNA", at positions 524 to 776 of the family's 1533-position model. The record is from RNAcentral.
UACGUAGGGGGCAAGCGUUGUCCGGAGUUACUGGGCGUAAAGCGCACGCAGGCGGUCGUGCACGUUUGGGGUGACAGCUUCCGGCUUAACUGGAAGAGGACCUCGAAGACGGCGCGACUUGAGGGGUUCAGAGGGACCGAGAAUUCCGGGUGGAGUGGUGAAAUGCGUAGAUAUCCGGAGGAAUACCCAAGGCGAAGGCAUGGUCCUGGGAACCAUCUGACGCUCAGGUGCGAAAGCGAGGGGAGCGAACGGG